Molecule: ribosomal RNA, 435 nt
Filed under: uncultured bacterium
Lineage: Bacteria
Description: partial 16S ribosomal RNA
Rfam family: Bacterial small subunit ribosomal RNA
Source: RNAcentral
AGCCAACGCUGGCGGCAGGCUUAACACAUGCAAGUCGAGCGGGCACUUUCGGGUGUCAGCGGCGGACGGGUGAGUAACGCGUGGGAACGUGCCCUCUGGUUCGGAAUAACUCAGGGAAACUUGAGCUAAUACCGGAUACGCCCUUUUGGGGAAAGGCUUGCUGCCGGAGGAUCGGCCCGCGUCUGAUUAGCUAGUUGGUGAGGUAACGGCUCACCAAGGCGACGAUCAGUAGCUGGUCUGAGAGGAUGAUCAGCCACACUGGGACUGAGACACGGCCCAGACUCCUACGGGAGGCAGCAGUGGGGAAUAUUGGACAAUGGGCGCAAGCCUGAUCCAGCCAUGCCGCGUGAGUGAUGAAGGCCUUAGGGUUGUAAAGCUCUUUUAUCCGGGACGAUAAUGACGGUACCGGAGGAAUAAGCCCCGGCUAACUUCGUG